This 497-nucleotide ribosomal RNA is filed under the name uncultured bacterium. RNAcentral's name for it is "partial 16S ribosomal RNA". It matches the Rfam family "Bacterial small subunit ribosomal RNA", at positions 28 to 507 of the family's 1533-position model. The record is from RNAcentral.
GAUGAACGCUGGCGGCGUGCCUAAUACAUGCAAGUCGAGCGAACGGACGAGAAGCUUGCUUUUCUGAUGUUAGCGGCGGACGGGUGAGUAACACGUGGAUAACCUACCUAUAAGACUGGGAUAACUUCGGGAAACCGGAGCUAAUACCGGAUAAUAUUUUGAACCGCAUGGUUCAAAAGUGAAAGACGGUCUUGCUGUCACUUAUAGAUGGAUCCGCGCUGCAUUAGCUAGUUGGUAAGGUAACGGCUUACCAAGGCAACGAUGCAUAGCCGACCUGAGAGGGUGAUCGGCCACGCUGGAACUGAGACACGGUCCAGACUCCAACGGGAGGCAGCAGUAGGGAAUCUUCCGCGAUGGGCGAAAGCCUGACGGAGCAACGCCGCGUGAGUGAUGAAGGGCUUCGGAUCGUAAAACUCUGUUAUUAGGGAAGAACAUAUGUGUAAGUAACUGUGCACAUCUUGACGGUACCUAAUCAGAAAGCCACGGCUAACUACGUG